CAUAUCACUAAGCGGAGAAAAAGAAAAUAACUAUGAUUCCUAAAGUAACGGCGAGUGAAAUAGGAAAAGCCCAUAGCCGAAUUCUGCUGUCCUCGACGGCAGCUAGAAGUUGUGGCGUUGGGAACUGCCUUUUGUAACCGAUCGGUCGGGCUACGCGACUCCUCUUGAUUGUGGUUUGCCCAUAGCAGGUGAAAGGCCUAUUGCCGUAGCCUCGUGCWGAAGACCGGCGGUGAUGGCAGUCCUUAGAGUCGGGUUGUUUGGGAUUGCAGCCCGAAGUAGGUGGUAAACUCCACCUAAGGCUAAAUACGAUCGCGAGUCCGAUAGCGCACAAGUACCGUGAGGGACAGUUGAAAAGAACUUUGAAGAGAGAGUUCAAAGUACGUGAAACCGUUCAGAGGUAAACGGGUAGAAAGUCGAAUUGAAGGCUGACAAUCAAGCCGUUGGUUUAGUCUGAGUUGGGCCAGUAGCACGUUAAAGGCUUCUGGUUUGCUUGUAUGGCUGGCUACGGUUGUAUUUGUUGGCUUUGGAUCGCCGCGACGGCAGUGUCUGACCGGCUGGCAUCGGCUCCUCUGGUCAAUGUAAAUCCGUUUGGGUUUUCACGUUGGCACAUGGGCUGGUGUCCCGCGUACUUAGCACAGUCGAUAUUUACAGCGGUUUAAGCGUUCCAGCUGGUCGYCGUUCGUCUUGUAUUGGUAGGUCAAUCUUAAACAAGUUUACCUGCUAACAUCAGGGCGGCGGCGGUUGGUUUAACGACGGAACAAGGAUCGCAUUGGCGGCGUUUGACUACGAAUUAUCUACCUGACCCGUCUUGAAACACGGACCAAGGAGUCUAACCUGUGCGCGAGCCAUUGAGAUUAACAAACUCAAAGGCAAAGUGAAAGCGAUUUCGGUGAGAUCUGUCGUUUAAUUGUUGAGAUUAACGGCGGCGCAUCAUCGUCACGCCUCGUUACGGCUUCGGCUGUUGAGGCGCAGACUGAGCGCACAAGUUGGGACCCGAAAGAUGGUGAACUAUGCGAGGCGAGGUCGAAGCCAGAGGAAACUCUGGUGGAGGACUGUAGCGGUUCUAACGUGCAAAUUGAUCGUCGCAGCUUCGUAUAGGGGCGAAAGACUAAUCGAACCAUCUAGUAGCUGGUUCCCUCCGAAGUUUCCCUCAGGAUAGCUGGCACUUUCGGAGAGCAGUUUUGUCCGGUAAAGCGAAUGACUAGAGGCCUUGGGGACAUAACGACCUCAACCUAUUCUCAAACUUUGAAUGGGCAAGAAGAGGGACUCACUUAAUUGGAGUCUUCUCAUUUGUGAAUGCUUGAGUGCCAAGUGGGCCAUUUUUGGUAAGCAGAACUGGCGCUGUGGGAUGAACCAAACGUCUAGCUAAGGUGCCAAAUGCUAACGCUCAUCCGAUCCCAUUAAAGGUGUUGGUUGAUAGAGACAGCAGGACGGUGGCCAUGGAAGUCGGAACCCGCCAAGGAGUGUGUAACAACUCACCUGCCGAAUCAACCAGUCCUGAAAAUGGAUGGCGCUGAAGCGUUGUGAACCUAUGCUAGACCGGCAUUGC
This 1549-nucleotide ribosomal RNA is filed under the name Chaetonotus cf. similis TK230. RNAcentral's name for it is "eukaryotic LSU rRNA". It matches the Rfam family "Eukaryotic large subunit ribosomal RNA", at positions 39 to 1361 of the family's 3401-position model. The record is from RNAcentral. Lineage: Eukaryota; Metazoa; Gastrotricha; Chaetonotida; Chaetonotidae.